RNAcentral lists this ribosomal RNA (490 nucleotides) under uncultured bacterium. Its description in RNAcentral is "partial 16S ribosomal RNA". It matches the Rfam family "Bacterial small subunit ribosomal RNA", at positions 30 to 507 of the family's 1533-position model. The record is from RNAcentral.
AUUGAACGCUGGCGGCAGGCCUAACACAUGCAAGUCGAACGGUAACAGGAAGAAGCUUGCUUCUUUGCUGACGAGUGGCGGACGGGUGAGUAAUGUCUGGGAAACUGCCUGAUGGAGGGGGAUAACUACUGGAAACGGUAGCUAAUACCGCAUAACGUCGCAAGACCAAAGAGGGGGACCUUCGGGCCUCUUGCCAUCGGAUGUGCCCAGAUGGGAUUAGCUAGUAGGUGGGGUAACGGCUCACCUAGGCGACGAUCCCUAUCUGGUCUGAGAGGAUGACCAGCCAAACGGGAACUGAGAAACGGUCCAGACUCCUACGGGAGGCAGCAGUGGGGAAUAUUGCACAAUGGGCGCAAGCCUGAUGCAGCCAUGCCGCGUGUAUGAAGAAGGCCUUCGGGUUGUAAAGUACUUUCAGCGGGGAGGAAGGGAGUAAAGUUAAUACCUUUGCUCAUUGACGUUACCCGCAGAAGAAGCACCGGCUAACUCCGUG